Chelonia mydas (Green sea turtle) is the source of this 644-nucleotide long non-coding RNA. RefSeq lists it as uncharacterized. The record is from RefSeq and is a predicted model, not a curated record. The transcript is spliced from 2 exons. Lineage: Eukaryota; Metazoa; Chordata; Testudines; Cheloniidae.
GCUAGGCAGAUGCACAAUUAGUUUUCUACACUCAGAACUUUGUGGAAUUGGAUGUGGUGGUUUUCGGUGUGCUCAACAGGUUCCCUGUUGCUGGACUCAGACUCCACAAGGACGAGUAGUCAGGGCAACUGCUUUGCACAAGGUCAUGUGCACUGUGGGGGUUGGGAGAAGCUGUGCCCAAGGAACAGAAAGCAGGCUGUUGUCCCUACUCUAAAGCAUUUCGCAGCAGGUUGUUUUUUUUUUAAUUUAUAUACUUAACUGGAGUGGUUGGUUAAUUGGUUAGCUGACGAGCUAACAGUGAUUUCAGCAGAGGAGGAGGAAGAGUCUGCAUGGAUUCCAGCUGGAGAUUUCUACAAGCAAGUGGAGGGAAGACCUUGCUUUUGACACAGCAGACUGUAUAAAUUUGAUGAUCAAAGACUAACUGAGAUUCAGGUGAACUCAGCCUAAGCUUUUGUGAACUCUUGAGUUUCUUCUCGCUGUGCUUCUUUUGGGCGUGGGGACUGACCUGUUUAGAUGCAACUUGUUUUUCUUUCUUUAUGUUUAUCCAUAACUGUAGAUAAUGUAAGUAGCUAUGUUAUGUUGUAAAAAUUAUUAUUUAUGUUUCUUUAUCAAAAGAUUUUAUAAAGUUGGUACUUAAGAAUUAA